RNAcentral lists this ribosomal RNA (253 nucleotides) under uncultured bacterium. RNAcentral describes it as "partial 16S ribosomal RNA". It matches the Rfam family "Bacterial small subunit ribosomal RNA", at positions 524 to 776 of the family's 1533-position model. The record is from RNAcentral.
UACGUAGGGUGCGAGCGUUAAUCGGAAUUACUGGGCGUAAAGCGUGCGCAGGCGGUUCGUUGUGUCGGCCGUGAAAGCCCCGGGCUUAACCUGGGAAUGGCCGUUGAAACUGGCGAACUGGAGUGUGGCAGAGGGGGGUGGAAUUCCGCGUGUAGCAGUGAAAUGCGUAGAGAUGCGGAGGAACACCGAUGGCGAAGGCAGCCCCCUGGGCUAACACUGACGCUCAGGCACGAAAGCGUGGGGAGCAAACAGG